RNAcentral lists this ribosomal RNA (255 nucleotides) under Triticum aestivum (bread wheat). Its description in RNAcentral is "partial small subunit ribosomal RNA". Lineage: Eukaryota; Viridiplantae; Streptophyta; Magnoliopsida; Poales; Poaceae. The record is from RNAcentral.
AUGAGGGAGCUGGGUCUUCGAGAGGAGGACCUUGACGAUGUGGUGUUUGAUGAGAAGGAGGCACCGCCGGAGGCGUCGCGGUGGAUGGCGCUGGUUAGGGUGCACUCGCCCAAAACAUAUAGCCAGUACUGGUUCUUUAAGAAUAUGAGAGCGGCGUGGGAUCUAGCUCAGGAGGUCCAGUUCAAACCGCUCGAGGACAAUCUAUAUACAGCCAAAUUUUCAUGUUUGGGAGAUUGGGAGAGAAGUAACACGUGA